RNAcentral lists this long non-coding RNA (338 nucleotides) under Cinara cedri. Lineage: Eukaryota; Metazoa; Arthropoda; Insecta; Hemiptera; Aphididae. The record is from RNAcentral.
AUUACCUUUCUUCUUCAGGCGGCAAAUUGAUCUGUUGAAUUUGAUAAAGGUGACCGUAGUAAAUAAAAAGAUUUUAAUACAACAACUGUUUCUUUUUUAUUAAUUUUUAAAAUAUAAAACACUGUUCUAGGUUCCCGUGCUUUUGUAAGAAUCUCUGCGUAGUCUUUUACACUCGCUUGUGAUCAUCUGUCCAAAAGCAACGGGAACAAUACAAACACUGUGUAGGAUUAGAAGUGGCCGGCCUCCUUAUAACUGGAGAUCUAUGUGUGUGUGCGUGUGUAAAUGUGUUAUCUUAAUCUGGUUAAUACUAACAACUUAAUCUAAUAAUUAAUGGCUAC